CCACUGUCCACUGUGCUCACAUAAACACAUCAUUAUAAUUAAUGCAAAAAACCAGUCUCUGAAAAACCGUUAGAAAAUUUCAAAGAAGGGAUGCUGCACGACUGAUGAAGCUUUUAGUCGAGUUUUAGUGCUUUAGUGAACAACUUUAGUGAUUGUGAGCGGGGUAAAAAACGAAUCCUAGCCCGCUUCUCGUUGACGUGAGACAAAUCACCGCCGGUUAACCGGAAUAAGUAAGUUUGUAACUCCCGGAGCAAAGAGAUUUUAUCUCAAACUCAUCCAAGUAAGUUGCAAGGUUUCCUUUAAACUGGUGAACAUAAGUCGCCAAAACUUGAGCUUAGAACUUGAGGUCGGGCCCGAUAACUUGUUCAGUUUCAGGCGUUUUAGGGAUGAAGCCGAUCAUGCGGUAAUGCUAUGUUAUCAUAAUAAAUUUGUAACUUUGUUGCUGUACUUGAACAACUUAUUAAA
This is a long non-coding RNA of Tribolium castaneum (red flour beetle), 465 nucleotides long. RefSeq lists it as uncharacterized. The transcript has 3 exons. The record is from RefSeq and is a predicted model, not a curated record. NCBI's taxonomy places the organism in Eukaryota, Metazoa, Arthropoda, Insecta, Coleoptera, Tenebrionidae.